UUACACAGCCAUAUCACCCUGCAGCCCAAGACUGGUUGCCCACUGAAGCUAAGCAGGGUUGAGCCUGGUUAGUACCUGGAUGGGAGACCUCCUGGGAAAACUAGGUUGCUGCUGGAAG
This 118-nucleotide ribosomal RNA is filed under the name Sinocyclocheilus grahami. Lineage: Eukaryota; Metazoa; Chordata; Actinopteri; Cypriniformes; Cyprinidae. The record is from RNAcentral.